AAAAAAUGGUGGGACUGUAGCUAGUGGUUCAAGCCCCAGCACUGCCAGGCUCUGGAUUACUGAUCGGAAGGUCAGGGGUUCAAGCCUCAGCACUGCCAAGCUGCCACUUUUGGGCCCUUAACCCUCUCUGCUCCGGGGUGCUGUAUCAUGGCUGACCCUGCGCUGCCCAACUUCUUAACACGCAAAGAAAAGCACUUCACUGUGCUGUAAUGUAUAUGUGACCAACAAAGACUCAUUAUCCAGAGCCAAUCCCGGUAACACUGGUUGCAAGGUGUGGAAAAUUUAGCCCUGACAGCACACCAGUCCAUCACAAGGCUACAUAUUAGUGAUAUUUCUGUGUUUUGUUUUGCAUUCGUAUUCACACUGCCCUCUUCUCUGGCCUCGAAGUGACUAUUCAGGGCCCCUAGAUGGAGGCAGCCUUCAAAAGAUGGUGAGAAGCCUCACAGAGACUGCAUUGCACAGUGCGUAAAAAUUUGUGGAACACCCUUGUUGGCAGUGGCAAUGGAGAGAUUAAUUUUAGUCUUAUAAUUUUCUGAUCAUUUUAGUUCUAUAUAAUGUUCUCAUUGUAAUAUAAUGUUUUUGACAGUAAAAUGAUGGUUACAUUAUUUGUCUGUUAUUUUGAGGGUUGCAAACUACUGAAAGGAUCUUUUAUUUAGUACACUAAGACCCCACCCACUGAGGAGCCACCAGGUUUAUGAUUGGUCAACAGCUUUUUGUGUUAAAGUGCAACGGUUUAGGGAAGAUGAUCAGUCACUCUGCAUUCUAACCAGCUGUAUGAGCAUGGAGCAUGGAGCUGCUUGUCGUGCCAAAUGUCGAUCCUACAAGUAACUCCAUGUCCAUGAGCUUUGACCAGACAUUGGAAGAACGCCUACGAGAUGACCUGCGAUAUUACUUCAUGAGUCCCUGUCAGAAAUACAGAGCACGGCGACAGCUACCAUGGAAGUUGACAGUACAGAUUUUAAAAAUAGCCAUGAUUACAACUCAGCUUAUUCUCUUCGGGCUUAACAACCAGCUCGUAGUGACCUACAAAGAAGAGAACUUGAUGGCCUUCAAGACUUUGUUCCUGAAGAGCUACAGUGGUGUGGAAGAGGAUGACUAUAGUGUAGCUGUCUAUACUAAACAGAGUGUCUUUGACCAUCUAUACUACAUCAUAGAUCAGUACUCUCAGUUAGACCAGCUGUCUGUGGGCUCUGUCAGCUAUGCCGAGGAGGAUGGAAAUCUACUUCCUUUGGUCAUCUGUAAAGAGUACUACAGACCGGGUAGCGGGAAGCAUUCUGAAGGAACCUACAAUAUAGAUGCCCAAACUGAGUCAGCUUGCUUAACUUUGGAUCCCAGAUCUGCUGCAACAUGCACUACUAGAAAUGCCUCUUUUUUUGAGAUUGACUUUUGCAGACUUGUCACUAUUGAAAUCUCAUUCCGGCUUAAUGGAAUCAACCUACAAACUGUCCUUUCACAUGAGUUACCUGAUUGUUACACUUUUGCUGUUUUGGUUACAUUUGACAAUCGGUGCCAUAGUGGAAAAGUGAAAAUUACCCUUGGUAUCGAUGCUGUUAGCAGUGCAUGCAAAAACUGGAAGAUUUCAGGAACUGCUCAGAAGAACACUCACUAUCUUCUCAUUUUUGAUGCUGUUGUUAUCCUAGUGUGUCUGGUCUCUUCUGUGCUUUGCAUUCGCUCUAUAUUUCUUGCAAUUAGAUUACUUCAGAGAUUUUCCAAGUUCUGUGUUUGGAAGUACAAUAAUAAAGUAUGUGAGGAUGACCAACGAGAGUUUUUAAAUGGCUGGUACAUCUUGGUAAUUAUCAGUGAUGUUAUGGCAAUCAUAGGGUCAAUACUGAAGAUGGAAAUUCAGGCAAAGAGCCUGACAAACUAUGAUGUGUGUAGCAUCUUUUUAGGAACAUCCACACUCAUGGUCUGGGUUGGGGUCAUCAGAUAUUUAGGUUACUUCCAGAAGUAUAAUGUUCUUAUCCUUACUAUGCAGGCAGCCCUACCCAAAGUUCUCCGCUUCUGCUGCUGUGCAGGAAUGAUUUAUCUGGGCUACACUUUCUGUGGGUGGAUCGUUUUAGGGCCCUACCAUGAAAAGUUUGAGGGUCUGAGCCGCGUGGCCGAAUGCCUCUUCUCCCUGGUGAACGGGGACGACAUGUUCCCGACGUUUGCUGAGUUCCCGCAAAAGAACAUCAUGGUGUGGCUGUUCAGCAGGGUCUACCUCUACUCUUUCAUCUCCCUCUUCAUCUACAUGGUGCUCAGCCUUUUCAUAGCUCUCAUCACAGAUGCUUACGAGAGCAUCAAGCGCUACCAGAAAAACGGGUUUCCCAUGACAGAGCUGCAGCUGUUCCUGAGUGUGAAGAAAGAGGUCCCAGAGGGGGAGGAUGUAGAAAAUGGAGAGGAAGGCAGCACCCAUAGUGUCUCCUCCUUCACUAUGCUGUGUGGCUGCAAAAGAGUUUCCAAAGACGAUUGCACCGUUCUCAUCAGCUGAUAGAGAACAACCAAAUGAUCUCAGGCAAGGCUGACUUCAGUGGAAAAAUCUGUGAUUACAGACUCUUGUGCAUUUCAAAAUGCUUCCAUUAUACUGUGUAUAAUGUGUACCAUCUACCCUAUAGUUUACAUGUAAAUCCGGGAUGGGAACAUAACGUGCGUUAGCCAAAUGAAGAAGACGAUCAGUAACAUCCAUGAAGAGGACUAGAAUAUAAUUAAGGCUCAGGAGUAAAAAAGAUUUACCGGGAAAUUCAUGUUACGAAGAAGCGCAACGUUACCCCUGCCGUAUGUUAUAAAUGCAUGAAAGGGGACUAUUUUCAGUUUGCUCAUUAAUAGAAGUAAACUGCUAAAUCUAUUUAAAGGAAAUAGCUCCAAUGCAUGAACUAUUACCCAGAGGUUAGAUAUUGUUAAGAAAAUUCAGCAAAUGGAUUGUAUUCAGCAAGUUUAAUGAUUGUACCUUGAAGAAGCUUAUAAACUCUGGAAAAAAUGAGAGUCUGGAUGUUUAAUAUGAUGUAACCCUCCCUCUUUUAUUCAUCUGUUUAUAUCAAAGGAAACAUAAUUGAUGUGUGCCCCUCUUCUUGUUACUUAACUAAGUCAAUAUAAAGAAAGGUGAGAAAUCAAAAGCUAUAAUACACUCUUAUAAAAGAGGAUGUUUCCUGAGGAUGUUUCACUGGGUGUACAGUAUCACUCCACUCAUCUGUGUUCGCCACAUAAUAUUUCACUUCCUAAUUUGAAACCGUUACUACAGUUGUGCUAGUGACAUCAUCAGAGGACGAAGCAAACGAUACUUUUCAGGAAUAUACUGCAACUUCUGACUUCAAAUAUGAAAGCUCAUCAGAUGAAGCAAAUUUCACUAGAAGCACCUUUAACGGGAACGUACAAAUCGAUGUGAGCUAGAUAAAGAGCUAGCCGAUGUGCUAUAAAGGUUUCUGUGGAUCUGAAGCCUAUAGCGGGAACACCGGAUGCAACAGAGGAAUACAUCCUGCAUGUACAUUCAUACCGAGAGGCGCUUAGACGAAACUGAAGAACCUGAAGGAAACCCCACAUAGAUAAGGGGUGAACAUCCACACCCAACAUCCAAACUCCACACAGACAGUAACCUGAGUACAGGAUUGACCCGGGGCCCAUGGAGCUGUAAGGUGGCAACACUAACCGCUGUAACACCAUAUAGGCCCUUACUCAGACAUCUGUGAUUAGAGAUUAUACAAAUUGGCAAAUUAUACUGUAAGGCAGCAUAUUUAAAAAAAAAUGCUAUUUUAAUUAUAUAUUCCUCUUAUACCACAGAUAUUUGCCAACGAUUACUAUUUUUCAUUUAUUAAUGAAUGACACAUCUUGCUUUUUUAACUGUACAAGGUUACAUUUAAUGUUAUGGAAAGUCCAAGAGACUCAAGUCUUCAGGACAGAGGAGUUUGCGCUUUCCGGUUUCUCAGUAAUAUGACAAGCAACUUGUUUUGUCUCAUUAACAUUGAGAGCUGAAACAGAGAGGCUGGUAAGGGAAAGACUAUACAUAACUGCUAUAACAUAAGUCUAUGUGGAGUGUUUUUGGGCUGAGUUUAAUGUUUUGUUGUUUUUUUGUUUUUUUUUUUUAAAUACAGAUUUGGAAACGCUAGCUCAUCCACCCAAAGACCAAAGACUUGAUACAAUUUUCCAAUUUCAGCAUCUUUGUGAAAGCCACAAUAUGUUAAGGAUCUCUCUGUCCUGAAAGAAGAUAAAACAUUAGUUGUGAAAUGUCCUUAGCAGUCAUUAUGCCCAUAUUUUUAACAUCCAGUGAGAAUUUGCUACCGUCGGCACAAUUUAUACAGAUUGUAUCAGCUUCAAGGUCCCUUCCAAAUUCCCCCACACAGCAAGAAUGCAAACGUUGAAAGGAACUGCAUUUUGUUUUGACUGGGUGGUAGUGUGGGGAUGAGAGAGUGCAAUUAUAAAUAUAAGGAUUGUUAUUACUUUUUAAAUAUGGCGUUUAUUGCAUUUAUAAAAUAUGUGUUUUGAAAUCGAAGUAUAUCUUGCAUUAUGCGUACACACAGAGACAGGAAAUGCAGUCACUAAUACGUACUGUUUGAAUUUUUCUAAUUAGCAUUUGAAUUUGAACAAAGUCUGGAAUUUGCUGCCAUAUUUCAUAGGACCUUAAUCUUAUCACAAACGCACAAAUGAACAGUGCAGCAUGUUUGAGAAUCAUAUCACGACUGUGUGAAUGAAUGAUGUAGCUGGUGACUUCGGCUGUGGAGGAAGGCAAAACAAUCUAUUCAGGACUUUUUGGCAAAACAUUUUCACUUCAUUAUAUACUAAAAACCAGGUGCUUUUUCUGAGGACGUUUUCACUUCCUAUUCAAAACUGCAUUUACAAGUGAAAGUUGUAUAUUAUUGCAGGCGAAUAAAGCAAAUCAAGAAGGCCUUUAUAUUCAGCGCCAGAAUUAUUGGCACCAUAUUAGGCAUAAGAUGGGUUAAAAAAAAAGAUGUUAGGAACAAAUGUCUUUGUGAAAAAAUAAUGCAAGUGUGACUUUAAUUGAAGGUUGAUUUAAGUGAUUUAAUUGGAAUCUGCUGUAUUACAAAAUGAUUCCAUUAUACUGUGUAUACUGUAUAACAUCUACACCAUCGUUUACAUGUGUAUCAGGGAUGGGAAUAUAACUCACAUUAGCCAAAGGAAGAAGAUGAUCAGUAAUAUCCAUCCAUACAGAGGAUUACAAUAUAAUUAAGACUCAGGAGUAAAAAGGUUUGCUGGAUCGGAUAUCAAGUAAAUAUGAAGAAUAUAUGAAAUUCAUCUUAAUAACAGCCACAGUAUUAUCCCUACCAUAUGUUACAAUUACAGGAAAGGCAAUAUUUUAAUUUUCGUUAAGGGAAAUGCAUUAAGGCUGCAAAAUAUGUAGUGAGAGUAUGGCUCUGGAGCCAUAGAGGAAAAAGUGUUUGCAAACAGUGUACUAAAAUGACCUAUUCACAUGUCCUUGAAAAACAGCCUUUUCACUUCUUCAAUUAGCAAAAAAUAAAAAUAAAAACCCAGAUGUUUAUCCGGUG
RNA transcript from Ictalurus furcatus (blue catfish), 5474 nucleotides. It is a transcript of the gene named mucolipin TRP cation channel 2, with no coding region annotated. NCBI's taxonomy places the organism in Eukaryota, Metazoa, Chordata, Actinopteri, Siluriformes, Ictaluridae. The transcript has 15 exons. The record is from RefSeq and is a predicted model, not a curated record.